Molecule: long non-coding RNA, 432 nt
Filed under: Physcomitrium patens
Lineage: Eukaryota; Viridiplantae; Streptophyta; Bryopsida; Funariales; Funariaceae
Description: long non-coding RNA (PPAT_LNC009802)
Source: RNAcentral
AAUAUAUGCCCAAAAUUGUAGUUUUUGAAAAAUUCAGAUAAAAACCUAUAAAUCAAUUAUGUAGCUGUGUGUAUUCUCAAAUAUCAAUAUUUGCAACCAAUUGCAAUAACAAAAUGUUUAUUUAACAAAAGGUAAAACUUCCACAAAUUUGCCUUGCUAACUAAAUUCCCAUUUUAUUUUCUCGGCUAUUCCCAAAAUCUACUGCCUUUCCAAAACGAACCUCAUUCACUCAAACCGUGCAUUGAUCCUUUCUUAUGCACUGUUGCAAUUCCCUCAAAUUUUUUCUCCAUUGCUUUGGUUUGAUAUUGAUCUCCCUCUUUGAUUCAGCAAUUUUGAUCACUCCUCGCACUGUUGCUGUGUUCCCCUCAGUUUCCUGAUGAGAUCCUCUUUUGGUUCACUUAUCCAUUUUUCUUCUCCGUAUAAAGGUCUGGA